CCUACGGGCGGCAGCAGUGAGGAAUAUUGGUCAAUGGACGAGAGUCUGAACCAGCCAAGUAGCGUGAAGGAUGACUGCCCUAUGGGUUGUAAACUUCUUUUAUAUGGGAAUAAAACGCUCCACGUGUGGGAUUUUGUAUGUACCAUAUGAAUAAGGAUCGGCUAACUCCGUGCCAGCAGCCGCGGUAAUACGGAGGAUCCGAGCGUUAUCCGGAUUUAUUGGGUUUAAAGGGAGCGUAGGUGGAUUGUUAAGUCAGUUGUGAAAGUUUGCGGCUCAACCGUAAAAUUGCAGUUGAAACUGGCAGUCUUGAGUACGGUAGAGGUGGGCGGAAUUCGUGGUGUAGCGGUGAAAUGCUUAGAUAUCACGAAGAACUCCGAUUGCGAAGGCAGUUCACUGGACUGCAACUGACACUGAGGCUCGAAAGUGUGGGUAUCAAACAGGAUUAGAUACCCUUGUAGUC
RNAcentral lists this ribosomal RNA (460 nucleotides) under uncultured bacterium. RNAcentral describes it as "partial 16S ribosomal RNA". It matches the Rfam family "Bacterial small subunit ribosomal RNA", at positions 338 to 795 of the family's 1533-position model. The record is from RNAcentral.